RNAcentral lists this long non-coding RNA (1348 nucleotides) under Malus domestica (apple). RNAcentral's name for it is "long non-coding RNA (MDOM_LNC019723)". The record is from RNAcentral. Lineage: Eukaryota; Viridiplantae; Streptophyta; Magnoliopsida; Rosales; Rosaceae.
UUCCGUUGCUUAUGUAUAUAAAUUUUGAAUUGUAUAUGCUUGCUAGUCACUAGAAAUCCCAUAUGAAUCUCAUAGAUUUCCCUUCAAGUGGUAUCAGAGCCAAAGGUUUAUAUUUGAUGUGUCCUUUUGGAUUUUAUGCAUAUGGGUUUUAAUUUUAUGUAUGACAUGUUAUUGCUUCAUUCAAAGUAUGUUUAUCUUUUGUUUUUCAAUAGUUGAAAAAUAUGAAUCAAUAGUUGAGAAAGAUAUGUAUGCAAAAAAUGUUUUGUAUGCAUGAAUGAAGAAUGAGUUUAGAACAAAUUUUGGGGUUUUGAGUCAUUGGGAGGGCACGGCAAAAAGGGGAUUUUGGCUAUGUGUUUGUGUUUUUAUUUUGAAUCACACACACACACACUUUAAAGCUAGAAAGUAGAGUUCUUGUCACUUUUGUUUUUUAUUUGAAAGAUCACCAAGAAUAUACAAAUCUUGAAAAUGUGUUCAUGGUUUUGUUCUUGGUGUUCAUGGUUUGGUUUUGGUGAAAAUGGUUUUAUUUGGUUUUCAUGCAUUGUUUUGUGGUUUUGGAUGAUGUACAUACAUCCAUAGCCAUCUCAAAAAUUUAUUAAAUCCUAGACUUGACUAGGAGAAUUUCCAUCACCCUUUUCACUAAAGUCUUUAAGCAAAACCAAGUGACAAGCAAAAUUUAAUCUUUCUACUUUAACUUGGUUUAAAUGCAAUAUGGGUGAGACUUCCCAUCCUCCCCUUAAUGUGGCCGGCCUCUGGAUUACCCACUUGUGGGGUUUUUUGUAAUUUGGAAAAAGAUAUUUUUACUUUUGAGUAUUUACGGUUUGACCCCUAACUUUUUCAUAUUUGCAUUUAGGCCCCUACUAACUAGAAAGUUAAAAUAUUUGAUUUUAAUUUUGUUAGUUGUUUAAACUCAUAAUACUAUUAUGCCCAUAUGCACUAAAUCUAAUUGUUUAUGUUGCAUUCCCAUUGAUUAUUUAAUGUGAUUAAGUAGUUAGAAAAAUAGGUGACUAUGGACUUAUGCCUUAAACGAUAAUUGAGCUAUGAGAUAAGGCGCUAAACUCAUAUUGUUUGAACCUUGGGAAUGUGUUUUAAUUACUGUUUCAAUUGGACCUUGUCACCUUGGACAUUAAUCUAUCUCUCCCUCUUAGUAUGUGUAAUUUGUAGGAAUUUGUACAAAUCGGUUUGUAAUUCUUUAUUACUUCUUAAUUUCUUUUAGUUAGUUGAUUCCCUCUAGUGCUAGACUAGAGUUUCUUUAACUAUUGGUAAGGAGACAUAACUAAAAGAGGGUUUUCGACAUGAGAUUAAAGAUUAAAUGGGUCCAACGCCCUAAUUAGCAAUUAAUGAUUGUCUU